GUAGUAGUAGUCUUUAUUGAGAUUUUUUUUUAACACAAAUUACAUUCUUAAUUUUUAGGAGGUACACAUCCAUAAAUAUACAUAUAUGUUUUUUUUUUUUUUAUUAAUUUGCCGACUUAGAAUUGGUCUGGCUAUACUUAUUAUAUAUUUAAUAUUAACUAAUUUUUAAUGCGAUUCACAGUUUAAAGACAACAGUCUGAUAUAUUUUUAAGAUUAUUAAUACAUCCACUCAAAAAGACGAUACUUAGAUGCAUAAGAAAGAUAACUUAACCUAAAAGAAUGCUUAACCUAAGAGAAUAAUAAAAAAAAAAAGAUAAAAGGAGAAGAAAUGGUAAUGAUUUCACAAUAUGUUUGUUUCUAUCUCCUUACAUAAGAUGAAGCUAGUUUCAAAUGGAGUAGCAUAUAGUUUUUAUUAUUAAAUUUGUAUCCAUGACGUUUUUCCUUUUCAAAGCUGUUGAGCAACUUAGCCUCUGUAGGUGCCUGGGACCCGAUUUUUGUAAAAUGGUGAAGUCAAAAGAUUAUCAUCCUCGAUUUCCAAAACAGCGUUGGACCCUUCAUUGAGGAUACUAAUUGGAGAUAUAUAAUAUCUAUCAUUUAGAGACCAGUUGAUGUUGUUAAUAAAAAUGUUUUGAAGAAGAAAGUUAUCAUGAUAUUGUAA
Molecule: long non-coding RNA, 658 nt
Organism: Eupeodes corollae
Lineage: Eukaryota; Metazoa; Arthropoda; Insecta; Diptera; Syrphidae
Exons: 2
Source: RefSeq, a predicted model, not a curated record